Long non-coding RNA from Hemicordylus capensis (graceful crag lizard), 5978 nucleotides. RefSeq lists it as uncharacterized. The record is from RefSeq and is a predicted model, not a curated record. Lineage: Eukaryota; Metazoa; Chordata; Lepidosauria; Squamata; Cordylidae. The transcript has 2 exons.
AAGUAGGAGUUAAAGCCCCUACUAAGAGCCCAACAGGAAAAAAAAGCCCUGCAGCGCUGACUGGGAAACCCCUAGUGGAAGGUGGGAGAGGGAGGGAGGUUAAAAACCAGCAGUUCUAAAAAGCCAGUUAGUGUGUGUGUGUGUAGUUGGUAAGAACAGCCUGCUUGAGAAGAGACUGGGAUAACUGGGAAGGGUUAUGGGACACACAUACAAAAUGGGACUAACUGUAAAAAUUGCGGAGAAAAGCAGUUCAUGAGAAGAUCCUUAUGGAGGCUGCGUAUGCCUCAUGUUUUGAGGAAAGAUGCCUAUGAAAUGUAACAGCUUUGUAACCAAGUAAGCCAGGGACUCUACUUUUCAGUAGUGAACCAGGAUGAUGUCAGAACUUUUUUUUUUUAAAGCAUUUGUUUUGUUCAAAUCAAUCUGUGAGUAACUUGGUCAAGCCUCCCGCCACCCACCGCCAUGCCUAUAAUACAAGUGGAAGUUAAAGUAUAUAAAAGUCCUGGUAGUGUCUCUUUAAAGUGCUAGCAAAAUAAAGGAAGGAGGGUCAUAGGUGAGGAAGGAAUAAAUCAUUUGGAGCAGAGAAAGUAAAGCAGGUGGUGGAAGUGGAAGAAGGGAAAUGGAAGGGGAAAAACUCAGAGGCCACCUAAGCUCCUCACAACUUGGCCCAGUCAUGUCAAUGGGGUUUAUCUCAGUUGUGACUAAGGCCUGUCUGAUGACUUUUUAGUAGGAUUCAGUUGUGAUGAACUUUGGCCAACUGUGCCCUGGCUUUUUAGUUGGGCUAUAUUCUUUCUGCUCUCCUUUCUUUCAUUUCAUUUUCUACCACAGCUUCCAGUCCAAAGACUUGCUCCCUUUCUCUGGCUUUCUCCCUUCCCUUAUUUGUUUGUUAUUUCUCCAUGUAAACCGCCCUGAGCCAUAUUUGGAAGGGCGGUAUAGAAAUUGAAUUAUUAUUAAUAAUAAUAAUAAUAAUAAUAAUAAUAAUAAUAAUAAUAAUGAUGUUUAAUUAAUUCUUAAAUGGAGCCAUGCAUUUAUGAGGCCCCUUACAAAAUAGGAGAGAUCUCCUUUUUCCUCUUCAUUCCAUGAAUAGUGAAAAAAUACUAUAAAAUUACACUUCAUAGGUAUUGUUCCUCAUACACUUGAGGCAUACAACACUGCAUGAAGGGGGGGAGAGCGAGAAUGAGCAAGCACAGCAAUAGCUGCUAAAGGCAUUAGCUUGGCCUUGAAUUAAGAGCUGGUUCUUGUUCAUGGUGAUAGGAUAUUAAUGCUGCUGCCCCCUUUGUUGUUAUAGAUGGGCCCACAUCCCAGAUGAUUCUAAUAGAUAUUCAGCAAGAGGCCUUAUGCCUUCCAUGUGUAUUUGCUGGAUACCUGUCCUUAAGUGAAUGAAGCUCCUCCCCCAGUAGCCUGGAAAGCACUUCAAGAGGGGCUGCAGAAGAGGAUGAGUCUGGCUGGAUGAUGUCAGGGGCCUCUAGGGGUUCUCCCCUUGGAUUAUGCUAUCCAAGCAGGGCUAGCUACUAGCUAGUUUUGGGAAGCCCCAAGCUAUGUGGCCCCUCCCAUCAUUAAAUAUUAACAUCAUUAUCAUAUUCAACUAUGAAUGUCCAUGUCUUGUUUUUGUCCAAACAUACUAGAAGAAAUCAUGCAAACCAGGGAUUCUCAACCUGUGGUACUCCAGACAUUAAAGGGGCAGAGGAGGAGACAACUGGAAGCCGAUCACCUGCUGCAGCCACUAAGCAGCCUGAAAGCUGCUGUCUCCCCUGCGGCUGGAGCCUGGGACCAACACCCAAGCCUCUCAGGAAAAAACCCUUUAUUUGAUGGUUCAUCACCUAUGGCUGAAUGGGGGUCUGGACAGGGCUUCUUCUCACUGAGGAAGAACUGUCUUUUCAGCAUGCCCAGGGACACAGUUCUUCCUCAGAUAUCUUCAAAAACCAUUGUGGGGAAGAAGACGUUGACCCCAAUGGGAGGUCUUCUGCCAAAGUAACUGUCAUCUUCAUGGCAUGAUCCAUCUGCUUAGCAGAGAACAGACCCAUUUCCAGCAUUGGGACCCCCACACCCCAGCCAGAGUCAGACCCUUGCUCCUGGAGAAAUCUACUGCCAGCUUCCAGUUCUGUGGCCAAACCAUCGCCACCAUGCUACCUCCCAAAGCCAUGCCCUCAGGAAGAGCAAACAUCUGAUCCUUCCCAAAGGCCAUUGCUUUAGGUGCAGGCCUUAUGUAGACCAGCUGAUCUUCUGAUGGCAACCCCUUGGAGGUAAGACAGCAGCAAUGGCUGAGUGCCACUAAAUACACCAACAUCCAAGCUGCCAGAGCACCUCUGCUAGGUCUCUCAUUUUCUGCCUUGUCAUGGUGAGAGUGACAGAUCUUGUCCCUUGGGACUUAGCCUGGCCAUGAAGGACAGCAGUGCAGCGAGGCAAAGGAGGAAACAAUGUGAAAACACUGUACAGCUACUAUAAUGCUGCAGGAAUGCACAGAUUAGAUUCUGUGGAGAAAAUGGUGAAUAUCACACAGAUGGAAAAACAGAGCUCUGCCCAAACGAGUUAGAGCAGACCGUCCAUUGGUCUUCCCGGUACUAAUGCACUUCUUCCCAUUUUAAAUUUCUCCUGACACUUGCGUGACUUUCUCUGAAAGUUGGCCAAAGAAUCUUGCCACUUACAUAGAAAGCUGCCUUUAUACUAAGUCAGAGAUCAUUGGUCCAUCUAGCUCAGUAGUAUCUACCCAGCCUGUCAGCAGCUCUCUAGGAUUUCAGACAGGUGCUCUACCACUGAACUGCAGCCCUAAUCCCAUUCUGCACUGUUUCCCAAUUGACUCCAUAACAGGAGUGUAGAUCACAAAGAAUGUUGUAGGAUGAGUUAAAGCUACAUCUCCUCGGCACUAUGCAAAAUAAAAUCUGCAGGGCAAGAUAGAUGGAAAUCAGAGAGUCAGCGACUGAUUCAACAUGAUUUUCCCCCUCCCCCCCCCCAAUAACUAACACUACAGUUUUGAGAAAUGCUUGAUUGAGCAGCACUUCCUAGACUGCACAAUCUUCUGGGAAAUUAAUUGCUUUCUAUCUUUCUAGUUUCUUCUAGAUCUCCUGUAGUGAAUUGUGAUUGGGUGGGAGGACCAUUUCUGUUCCUUUUUGGCCAAAAUGAUUGCUUUAUGUUUGCUUUGCAGGAACAGGUAGUGAGGUAUUUGGACAGCCACCUGCUAGUCUUUCCUUUGUAAAUCUGUUGCAACUUCCUCUAUACUUCCCAGAGAAGAGAACAGAAAAUGAAGGACAGAUGGAUAGCGUGGAAAACAGACAGUUAUCUUUUGGAACUUUGUUUUCAUAACAGCUUUGGUUCAAAUGUGCACUUGAUGCACAAAGAAAAAAAGUGAUGAAACAGUCUGAUGUACUGUGGCAGAGAAAAUACAAAUCUUGUAACUUGCCAAUAGGAUCUUGUGAAUGAAGCUGAGAGAAAAAUGGCUUCUUGCUUGGAUAUUUCACCUGAGAUACUUAUUUAUACAUCUAGCCUUAAAUGUUGAUGUAGGUGGAUCUGCCUAGCUGCAUUAACUCCUGUCAAAAGAUGGAGACGAUGCAGUUUAAAAGAAAGAAAAAAUAAUUUAACUCUUGUCCUAUGUAUAUGUGAAUGAAAGUCAGGUUAGGCACAAAGUAUGAUUUUUAUAACUAUAUAAUGAGAGAUUAGAAAUCAGUAGCUGGUUUGGAAAACAAGAGCUUGAACAGAAUAAAAUAGUAUCAGCUUAAUGGGGGUGGGAAAGGAGAUAAUAGAAAACUAAGAAGAAAAAUCCAUCAACAAAAUAAGGUACACAAUCCAUUUGCUUAAAGGAAAGACUAAUAACGUAACAGAUACAAUUCAGCCUUUAAAAGCUUAGAAGAAAAUGUACUAAUAUUGUUCUGUAGGCUGUUCCCAUAAGGGUGGCUAUUAUAUCACAGGUGAGACACAUUUUUCUCACCUCGCCUGUAUUUAGUUAUUACAAGCACAUUCAUCUAUAUGAGGUAGGCAUGUGUGUGUCUGCCUUCACCUCACUUUCUUCUUUUGCUGCUUUUUCUUUUGUUUACUAUAUAUUCCAGGUACUAGAAAACAACCGUUUCUAUAGAAUCCAGUACACCAUUAUAUUUCCAGUGACAGCUGGUCUACUUGCAACUCACCUUAUUGAACACUAUUACAUUUUGUUAAAAAUUGAUGACCAGUACAAAACAAAAUUAGAUCUGCAGUUAACGUAGAACUGAAGUCAGCAGAAUUGCAAGAGCUGAGCAAUGACCUUCAGUCAUAUUCCAAAUUAAAUAACAAUGAAAUACACAAUGCUCAGCUUGUAAAAAAAAAUGGCUGUCUCUACUAGAGGGACCUUUUAACUGUAGUGGUUCUCUUAUUUCUUUUAGUUAGUUUAGUUUAGGUAGGGGGAUAACAAUUGUUCUUAUUCAUCUUUGCAUAAUGUCCCUUCCAGUAGCUGCUGAUGGGUGUGUGUGAGAGUUGUUAGCCCCUUUGGAACAGGGGACAGUCUUUUAAUUCCUUUUGCUAUGUAAACUGCUUUGAGAACUCUUGUUCAAAAGCCCUAUAUCGAUAGCCUUAAUUAGUAUACUGGCAAAGUUGUGCAAGCAUAGUUCAGCCUGCGAGUAGUUUCAACAUUGCAGCAUUAUAAGCCCUGACCAUUCUAUUGCUUAUAUAAUCAAAACAAUUUAUCCAAUCUGCUUGGCCAUCAGCAUGUAUUCACUAGGUGACAAGAGACACCUAUCCUGCACAUUUGGUGAAGAUCUGUUGAACGAAGGCUUAGAUAGAUCAGUUUAAGGUUUUUCUCUUUUGAACAGGGGUUCAAAGGGCUGGCUAUGUUCUUUCAGGCUGAGGAAGUGGUAUUUAAAUGAUUUUCUAGUCGAUUUCCAUAGUUUCAGCCUUUAGACUGCAUGCCAGAAAAGUGUCUUUUGUUUAUUCCUCUGGGGCCCAAUUGAUGGUUAUUUCACAAUUGAUCCUCAAAGUUGCAUUUUAAGAGGCACCUUUACUGCUAAGAGUCUGUGCAGUAAGACCUUUGAAGCAUUGCAAGCGACCAGUAUGGCAGUCAGCUCCUUCCCUGCCUGAGCCUUGGGAACACAGCCCUUCAAUUUCUUUACCCCACUGUAGUGAUACCUUUUUAAUACUGUUCCUCUGCCUUAGAAAAGGUGCUGUUUAAUAGGGGUGUGCAAUUCGGUGUUUCGGUUCGGACCCGAACCGAAACACCCCUGUUCUGUUCUGUGCCCGAAUUUUGCUCACCCGAAUCACCCCCGAUUUGGUUCGGAUUCGGAUUUACCCGAGAGAGGGGACCGCUAUGUGUGUGAGAGAGAGGGAGGAAGAGAGGCUGCAGUGUGUGUGUGUGUGUGUGUGUGUGAGAGAGAGAGGCUACAGUGUGUGUGUGUGUGUGUGUGAGAGAGAGAGAGAGAGAGAGAGAGAGGUGUGUGUGAGAGGCUGCAGUGUUUGUGAGGUUGCAUUGUGUGUGUGUACUAACUUUGCUACUAACUGAGCAAAGAGACUCCUGUUUAAGUGGUGGUUCUCUUAUAUUUAGGGGGGGGAGCAACUGGCCUUAUCCAAUCCCAGCAUCCCUCCAGUGGCUAUUGCUGAUGGCUACUUUGUUGUUUAGUGUGUGUAUGAGAGGGGGACAGGGAGGGAGGUAGAGAGGGAGAAUGGCUGCUGUGUGUGUGUGUGUGUGUGUGUGUGUGUGUGUGUGAGAGAGAGAGAGAGACAGAGAGAGAGAGAGAGAGAGAGAGAGAGAGAGAGAGAGAGAGAGAGAGAAUACUAACUUUGCUACUAACUGAGCAACAAGACACCUGUUAAAGUGGUGAUUAUCUUAUAUUUAGCAGGAGUAGAGCAACUGGCCUUAUCCCAUCCCAGUACAGCAUCUCUCCAGUGGCUAUUCCUGGUGUCUACCUUUAUGUUUCCUUUUAGAUUCUGAGCCCUUUGGAGAUAGGCAACUAUCUUAUUUAUGUAUUAUUGAUUCACACACAUUUAUGUAUUGUGUAUUAUAAUACACAUUUUUUAAAAAAUUA